RNAcentral lists this ribosomal RNA (730 nucleotides) under uncultured bacterium. Its description in RNAcentral is "bacterial SSU rRNA". It matches the Rfam family "Bacterial small subunit ribosomal RNA", at positions 771 to 1501 of the family's 1533-position model. The record is from RNAcentral.
AACAGGAUUAGAUACCCUGGUAGUCCACGCCGUAAACGAUGAUUACUAGGUGUCGGGGGUCACAGACCUUCGGUGCCGCAGCUAACGCAAUAAGUAAUCCACCUGGGGAGUACGUUCGCAAGAAUGAAGCUCAAAGGAAUUGACGGGGACCCGCACAAGCGGUGGAGCAUGUGGUUUAAUUCGAAGCAACGCGAAGAACCUUACCAAAUCUUGACAUCCCGAUGACCGGUACUUAAUGGUACCUUCUCUUCGGAGCAUUGGAGACAGGUGGUGCAUGGUUGUCGUCAGCUCGUGUCGUGAGAUGUUGGGUUAAGUCCCGCAACGAGCGCAACCCUUAUCUUUAGUAGCCAGCAGUUCGGCUGGGCACUCUAGAGAGACUGCCGGGGAUAACCCGGAGGAAGGUGGGGAUGACGUCAAAUCAUCAUGCCCCUUAUGAUUUGGGCUACACACGUGCUACAAUGGCGUAAACAAAGAGAGGCAACCCUGUGAAGGUGAGCAAAUCUCAAAAAUAACGUCUCAGUUCGGAUUGUAGUCUGCAACUCGACUACAUGAAGCUGGAAUCGCUAGUAAUCGCGAAUCAGAAUGUCGCGGUGAAUACGUUCCCGGGUCUUGUACACACCGCCCGUCACACCAUGGGAGUCGGAAAUGCCCGAAGCCGGUGCCUCAACCGUAAGGAGAGAGCCGUCGAAGGCAGGUCUGAUAACUGGGGUGAAGUCGUAACAAGGUAACC